GCGAAGACGAAAGCGGUCGUGGCGCCGGUUUAGUCGGCGAGCGACAGUGCAGCGGGGUGGAUGGGGGCUGCUCGCCUCGCGUAAAAUUAAGGACCGAGCUUAUACAUGCCGAAAAUGUUUGUUUCUACACAAAUAUGCGAUACGAUCUAAUUUAAAUCAUGGGCGACGUAGAAAAAAAACGAUUUAACUUUUCUCUAUUGAAGUGAUUGUAAUUAGUUUUUGUUCGAGUAUGUCUCUAAGUAAUGAUCGACAAAAAGGGAAAGUUCUACGUGGUGUGGUAUGUGCCGUUCGUAUGUGGCAACCUGUUGCUGAUGCUAGCAAUAGUGAGCAACAGGUUCAACAGUUUAAGCAGGCUCUCAUAAAAGAAACCAUAGAUUUUAUAUUAAUUUUUAAUUAUAGUUUACGCAUUUUUUUGUAUACUUGCACCAAAUAUUGAAGAAAGAAAAGAUAUCAUGUUGUAACAAAAUAAUUUUUAAAUAUUAUAAAUGUGCUUUCAAAUAUCAAAUCACAACUCUAUACAUAUUAAAAUUUGUUUAAUUGUCA
This is a long non-coding RNA of Nylanderia fulva, 543 nucleotides long. RefSeq lists it as uncharacterized. The record is from RefSeq and is a predicted model, not a curated record. NCBI's taxonomy places the organism in Eukaryota, Metazoa, Arthropoda, Insecta, Hymenoptera, Formicidae.